UACGUAGGGGGCAAGCGUUGUUCGGAAUUACUGGGCGUAAAGGGCGCGUAGGCGGCACGGCAAGUCGGGAGUGAAAGCCCGGGGCUCAACCCCGGAGGGUCUCUCGAGACUGCCGAGCUAGAGUGCGGAAGAGGCAACCGGAAUUCCCAGUGUAGCGGUGAAAUGCGUAGAUAUUGGGAGGAACACCGGUGGCGAAGGCGGCGACCUGGGUCGACACUGACGCUGAGGCGCGAAAGCGUGGGGAGCAAACAGG
This 253-nucleotide ribosomal RNA is filed under the name uncultured bacterium. RNAcentral's name for it is "partial 16S ribosomal RNA". It matches the Rfam family "Bacterial small subunit ribosomal RNA", at positions 524 to 776 of the family's 1533-position model. The record is from RNAcentral.